CUAUUGAGAUGGUUGAGAAAGGAGGUGGGGGAGGACUGACCAUAGGCGCCCCCAUUCAUGUAGCAAGAAAGAGAGAAAGGGCAUGAGUGUGGGUGCCUAUGGUCAGUCCUCCCUCGCCUCCUUUCUCGACCUUCUCAAUAG
This 141-nucleotide microRNA precursor is filed under the name Picea abies (Norway spruce). RNAcentral describes it as "miR11439 stem-loop (pab-MIR11439)". The record is from miRBase by way of RNAcentral. Lineage: Eukaryota; Viridiplantae; Streptophyta; Pinopsida; Pinales; Pinaceae.